UACGAAGGGGGCUAGCGUUGCUCGGAAUCACUGGGCGUAAAGCGCGCGUAGGCGGAUUGCUAAGUCAGGGGUGAAAUCCUGGAGCUCAACUCCAGAACUGCCUUUGAUACUGGUGGUCUUGAGUCCGGGAGAGGUGAGUGGAACUGCGAGUGUAGAGGUGAAAUUCGUAGAUAUUCGCAAGAACACCAGUGGCGAAGGCGGCUCACUGGCCCGGUACUGACGCUGAGGUGCGAAAGCGUGGGGAGCAAACAGG
RNAcentral lists this ribosomal RNA (253 nucleotides) under uncultured bacterium. Its description in RNAcentral is "partial 16S ribosomal RNA". It matches the Rfam family "Bacterial small subunit ribosomal RNA", at positions 524 to 776 of the family's 1533-position model. The record is from RNAcentral.